CAGCAUACAAAAAGUUGAAACCAAACACUUCAUAGUUAAGAUUUGCCUUUUUGUUUGGUUAUGUUUUUGAAUUAAUUAUAGAAACUAUAUCUGAAAUAGAAGUCAACAAAUUUUAAUUUUCCAACCACUUAUCUCAGAAAUAACUUUUCCACCAUAUAUCCAAGUUUUUCUUUUGUUUUUAAUGAUUACCUAGAAGAGAAACAAAGAAAAAUUCGGGAAAAUUCUAACUUUCAAUUAAACAAGAUUUUGGGGGUGACAGACUUAGUGGAAAAGAUGACGAGACAUAAACGGCCAGAGAAAGAAACUGUCUACGAGCCACGAGUAGUGGAGGAAUCUGACGAACAACUACCAGUGACAUCUUCUUCGACGUGUUGCUUCUUCUAUGCCGGAGGUCAAGGAUCAAGCUUCACUGACGACGUUUAUGUCAUCUUUGUCUCAAAUCUCACCUCGUCGUCACUGGUUCAUCUCUGACCAGCAGUCUAUGGGCACAAAUUGAAACUCGAGCAACAAACUUUCUUGCACAUUUAGUUCUUCAGCUUUUGUAUAAUUUUGUUUUGGCUCUAACUUUUUGUUUUCCAGAAACAUUCUAUUGAUUUC
Molecule: long non-coding RNA, 597 nt
Organism: Raphanus sativus (radish)
Lineage: Eukaryota; Viridiplantae; Streptophyta; Magnoliopsida; Brassicales; Brassicaceae
Exons: 2
Source: RefSeq, a predicted model, not a curated record